AUUUUGCGCAAUGGGGGAAACCCUGACGCAGCGACGCCGCGUGGAGGAUGAAGGCCUUCGGGUCGUAAACUCCUGUCAGAGGUGAAGAAUGCCCGCAAGGGUUUGACGGUAACCUCAGAGGAAGCCCCGGCUAACUACGUGCCAGCAGCCGCGGUAAUACGUAGGGGGCAAACGUUACUCGGAAUUACUGGGCGUAAAGGGUGCGUAGGCGGCUGGGAAAGUCAAGGAUGAAAUCCCGUGGCUCAACUGCGGAACGGUCCUUGAAACUACUCGGCUUGAGGAUAACCGAAGAGAACGGAAUUCCCGGUGGAGCGGUGAAAUGCGUAGAUAUCGGGAGGAACACCUGAGGCGAAAGCGGUUCUCUAGACUACUCCUGACGCUGAGGCACGAAAGCUAGGGGAGCAAACGGG
This 410-nucleotide ribosomal RNA is filed under the name uncultured bacterium. RNAcentral's name for it is "bacterial SSU rRNA". It matches the Rfam family "Bacterial small subunit ribosomal RNA", at positions 361 to 776 of the family's 1533-position model. The record is from RNAcentral.